RNAcentral lists this ribosomal RNA (894 nucleotides) under uncultured bacterium. RNAcentral describes it as "bacterial SSU rRNA". It matches the Rfam family "Bacterial small subunit ribosomal RNA", at positions 505 to 1397 of the family's 1533-position model. The record is from RNAcentral.
GUGCCAGCAGCCGCGGUAAUACGGAGGGUGCAAGCGUUAUCCGGAAUUAUUGGGCGUAAAGAGCUCGUAGGCGGUUUGUCGCGUCGGCUGUGAAAUCUGGAGGCUCAACCUCCAGCCUGCAGUGGGUACGGGCAGACUAGAGUGCGGUAGGGGAGAUUGGAAUUCCUGGUGUAGCGGUGGAAUGCGCAGAUAUCAGGAGGAACACCGAUGGCGAAGGCAGAUCUCUGGGCCGUAACUGACGCUGAGGAGCGAAAGGGUGGGGAGCGAACAGGCUUAGAUACCCUGGUAGUCCACCCCGUAAACGUUGGGAACUAGUUGUGGGGGCCUUUCCACGGUCUCCGUGACGCAGCUAACGCAUUAAGUUCCCCGCCUGGGGAGUACGGCCGCAAGGCUAAAACUCAAAGGAAUUGACGGGGACCCGCACAAGCGGCGGAGCAUGCGGAUUAAUUCGAUGCAACGCGAAGAACCUUACCAAGGCUUGACAUAUACCGGAAAAGGCUGGAAACAGUCUCCCCCUUGUGGUCGGUAUACAGGUGGUGCAUGGUUGUCGUCAGCUCGUGUCGUGAGAUGUUGGGUUAAGUCCCGCAACGAGCGCAACCCUCGUUCUAUGUUGCCAGCACGUUAUGGUGGGAACUCAUGGGAUACUGCCGGGGUCAACUCGGAGGAAGGUGGGGAUGACGUCAAAUCAUCAUGCCCCUUAUGUCUUGGGCUUCACGCAUGCUACAAUGGCCGGUACAAAGGGCUGCGAUACCGUAAGGUGGAGCGAAUCCCAAAAAGCCGGUCCCAGUUCGGAUUGAGGUCUGCAACUCGACCUCAUGAAGUCGGAGUCGCUAGUAAUCGCAGAUCAGCAACGCUGCGGUGAAUACGUUCCCGGGCCUUGUACACACCGCCCGU